RNAcentral lists this transfer RNA (76 nucleotides) under Ktedonobacter robiniae. RNAcentral describes it as "tRNA-Gln". It matches the Rfam family "tRNA". From Rfam's summary of the family: Transfer RNA (tRNA) molecules are approximately 80 nucleotides in length. Their secondary structure includes four short double-helical elements and three loops (D, anti-codon, and T loops). The record is from RNAcentral. Lineage: Bacteria; Bacillati; Chloroflexota; Ktedonobacteria; Ktedonobacterales; Ktedonobacteraceae. RNAcentral also lists the same sequence under 1 other name.
UUGGGGUAUCGUUCAAUGGUAGGACGGCUGACUCUGGAUCAGUUAAUUGGGGUUCGAGUCCCUGUACCCCAGCCCA